Molecule: ribosomal RNA, 460 nt
Filed under: uncultured bacterium
Lineage: Bacteria
Description: partial 16S ribosomal RNA
Rfam family: Bacterial small subunit ribosomal RNA
Source: RNAcentral
CCUACGGGUGGCAGCAGUGAGGAAUAUUGGUCAAUGGGCGCGAGCCUGAACCAGCCAAGUCGCGUGAGGGAGGACGGCCCUACGGGUUGUAAACCUCUUUUGCCGGGGAGCAACGGGCGCCACGUGUGGCGUCACUGAGAGUACCCGGAGAAAAAGCAUCGGCUAACUCCGGACCAGCAGCCGCGUUAAUACGGAGGAUGCGAGGUUUAUCCGGUUUUAUUGGGUUAAAAGGGUGCGUAGGCGGACCGGUAAGUCAGUGGUCAAAUUGAGGGGCUCAACCCCUUCCCGCCAUGGAAACUGGCGUUCUUGAGUGGAAGAGAAGUAUGCGGAAUGCGUGGUGUAGCGGUGAAAUGCAUAGAUAUCACGCAGAACCCCGAUUGCGAAGGCAGCAUGCCGGCUUCCGACUGACGCUGAAGCACGAAAGCGUGGGGAUCGAACAGGAUUAGAUACCCUUGUAGUC